Molecule: ribosomal RNA, 422 nt
Filed under: uncultured bacterium
Lineage: Bacteria
Description: bacterial SSU rRNA
Rfam family: Bacterial small subunit ribosomal RNA
Source: RNAcentral
GAGGAAUAUUGGUCAAUGGGCGCAAGCCUGAACCAGCCAUCCCGCGUGCAGGAAGACGGCCCUAUGGGUUGUAAACUGCUUUUCCAGGGGGAGAAUUUUUCUGUCGUGACAGGAAUUGACGGUACCCUGGGAAUAAGCGUCGGCUAACUCCGUGCCAGCAGCCGCGGUAAUACGGAGGAUGCGAGCGUUAUCCGGAUUUAUUGGGUUUAAAGGGUGCGUAGGCGGAUUGAUAAGUCAGUGGUGAAAACCUGCAGCUUAACUGUAGACUUGCCGUUGAUACUGUCAGUCUUGAGUGUGGUCAAGGUAGGCGGAAUGUGUAAUGUAGCGGUGAAAUGCUUAGAUAUUACACAGAACACCGAUUGCGAAGGAAGCUUACUGGGCCAUUACUGACGCUGAUGCACGAAAGCGUGGGGAUCGAACAG